CCUACGGGUGGCUGCAGUGAGGAAUAUUGGUCAAUGGGCGGAAGCCUGAACCAGCCAAGUAGCGUGCGGGAUGAAUGCCCUACGGGUCGUAAACCGCUUUUGCACGGGGAUAACACCCUCCACUUGUGGAUGUCUGCAGGUACCGUGCGAAUAAGGGCCGGCUAAUUCCGUGCCAGCAGCCGCGGUAAUACGGAAGGCCUGAGCGUUAUCCGGAUUCAUUGGGGUUAAAGGGAGCGUAGGCGGGCGUUCAAGUCAGCUGUAAAAUCGCGCGGCUCAACCGCGCCCCGCAGUUGAAACUGGAGGCCUUGAGUUCACAACAGGCAGGCGGAAUACGUGGUGUAGCGGUGAAAUGCAUAGAUAUCACGAAGAACCCCGAUUACGAAGGCAGCCUGCCGGGGUGCGACUGACGCUGAGGCUCGAAGGUGCGGGUAUCAAACAGGAUUAGAUACCCUUGUAGUC
This 459-nucleotide ribosomal RNA is filed under the name uncultured bacterium. Its description in RNAcentral is "partial 16S ribosomal RNA". It matches the Rfam family "Bacterial small subunit ribosomal RNA", at positions 338 to 795 of the family's 1533-position model. The record is from RNAcentral.